GAAAAGUUCCUGGCUUUAAGGGUAUCAUAAAAGGUGUUGUUGGAGUCCCAAACUUCUGAAUUCUUUUAUAGGACUUAGAUAAACUGAAGGACUGCUACAAUAAAUGUGUCAAUCUGAGAAGGGAAUAUGUUGAAUAAAAUCAUAAUUAACUGAUCUUCCAGUAUUUUCUUUUACCCUAAACUAGAAACUUUUCAGUAUC
Molecule: long non-coding RNA, 199 nt
Organism: Octopus sinensis (East Asian common octopus)
Lineage: Eukaryota; Metazoa; Mollusca; Cephalopoda; Octopoda; Octopodidae
Exons: 3
Source: RefSeq, a predicted model, not a curated record